RNAcentral lists this long non-coding RNA (1298 nucleotides) under Nicotiana benthamiana. Its description in RNAcentral is "long non-coding RNA (NBEN_LNC030680)". The record is from RNAcentral. Lineage: Eukaryota; Viridiplantae; Streptophyta; Magnoliopsida; Solanales; Solanaceae.
CCUAAAAACUUGGGAAAAAGGUCAAAAAAAUAUUCUUUUACUAUUGUUCCUCUAACCCUAACACAAAAUUUACAAAAUUACCUCUAACCCUAACGUCCAUCCACUAUGACCCUUUUUAUAUUUUAUUCAUGUCAGCAGUAUCAUAUCAGAUGGGAAGUAAUUUAAUCCUCAAAUAAAAUUGAAAGAAUUUUGAACUAAUUGUACAUACUGUAAUUGCCCAUCAGAGCAUUGGAACCCCUCAAUUAAAAAUGCCACAUAAUUAACCUCACCACCUCCAACAUCUCCCUUCCCCUUCAAUUUCUUCUUCCAUCGACAGCUUCACCACCCAAAAGCCUCAAUAUUUCACCACAAAAUAGCUUCAAACCUUAAUUUAAUCAACACUUUUCAGCCUCAAAGUUAUAUUCAAGUAACAUAAAAUAAACUUCAACAGCUUCUGAAGAACAUGAUAGACCCAUUAGGUAUUCUUCGCGUUUUUCCAAAUCCUUUGUAUGGUGAUUUUAGUCUCCUUUCAAAUACAUCUCCCAAAUCAGUACUAACCAGCCACCAUUAAUUGAUAGACCCACCUUAUUCACAUAAAUCCCCCACCGUAUCUCCUCUAUUUUUUUCACAUUCUCAUCCAUAGUAAAAUCAAACAGAAUAAAAUGAAGGACAAACCAAAAGAAAGUAUAGACCCUCAUAUCAGAGUGACUCUUUUGGCAGUGACUAUAGCUUCUUAUUUUUAUGAAUGAGAUUGAAAAGAGGUGGUAGUGAGAGGUUUUUCAUAUGAAGAUUUGGAUAAAGCGUACAAUAGCAGAUGAAUCUCCUCCGGCAAAGAUGCCGAUGAAGAUUAAGAAAUCAACAAGCUCAAAUCACAAACAAACCCAGCUAAAAAUUUCGCUCAAACGUCAAUGAAUCUCAAUACAUUUAUAUUCUCAAGAUUUCUUUACAAAUUCUUCAAUGAUGCCAUGAGAGCAAUCAAGCAAGAUAUGAAGAGAAGAAACAUUUUUUAUGCCAAAAAAUGGGUGUUUGCCAAUAAGAUCUGACAUGGCUGCAUUGAGUAACGUUACGGUAGUAAUACUUUGAUGGCUUUUAAUCUUAUCGACAAUUUUUAUGUGUGAGUUGAUUUGAAUUUAUAUUCGGAGAACGGGGUUAUUGUUUGAAUGACGAAACAUGAAGAAGGAGAAAGGAGAUAAAUAGGGGAGCCAGUACCAUGGAAGUUAGUUCUGUCCGUUAAAAAUUUCCCGGCGAAAUGCCAUAGUUUCCGGCGAUUUUAGUAUGGGGUGAGGGAGAGAAGAUGAGAGAAAGGGGGGAGAGAGAGG